RNAcentral lists this ribosomal RNA (82 nucleotides) under Aspergillus stellatus. RNAcentral's name for it is "partial 5.8S ribosomal RNA". It matches the Rfam family "5.8S ribosomal RNA", at positions 1 to 81 of the family's 154-position model. Rfam says of the family: 5.8S ribosomal RNA (5.8S rRNA) is a component of the large subunit of the eukaryotic ribosome. It is transcribed by RNA polymerase I as part of the 45S precursor that also contains 18S and 28S rRNA. The record is from RNAcentral. Lineage: Eukaryota; Fungi; Ascomycota; Eurotiomycetes; Eurotiales; Aspergillaceae.
AAACUUUCAACAAUGGAUCUCUUGGUUCCGGCAUCGAUGAAGAACGCAGCGAACUGCGAUAAGUAAUGUGAAUUGCAGAAUU